UACGGAGGGUGCAAACGUUGCUCGGAAUUACUGGGCGUAAAGCGCGUGUAGGCGGCCCUGCAAGUCGGGUGUGAAAUCCCACGGCUCAACCGUGGAAGUGCAUUCGAAACUGCAGGGCUAGAGUCCUGGAGAGGAAGGUGGAAUGCUUGGUGUAGAGGUGAAAUUCGUAGAUAUCAAGCGGAACACCGGUGGCGAAGGCGGCCUUCUGGACAGUGACUGACGCUGAGACGCGAAAGCGUGGGGAGCAAACAGG
RNAcentral lists this ribosomal RNA (253 nucleotides) under uncultured bacterium. RNAcentral describes it as "partial 16S ribosomal RNA". It matches the Rfam family "Bacterial small subunit ribosomal RNA", at positions 524 to 776 of the family's 1533-position model. The record is from RNAcentral.